CAGGCUGCAGGUAAAACUCAGCAUUUUCCUUUUGGAUGAUCAGUCCAUUCAGCUGCCCUGAGGGAGAGGGUUCAGACCCAAUGGAGUCCACACAGCUUCCAGCUGCAUGGUCACUCCGCAGUGAAGGACCAGAGGAGGGAGGAGGUGUGGCUAUUUACAGCCCACCACCAGGCUCACCUGGUGGAGGGGGCGUGGCAGAGGAGUUGGGAGGCGGUCCUCUAAUCACCAUUGUCAAAAAGGAAAAGGAUGACUUGUGGUCAUGUGACAGUUCUGCCUCCUCCGACAGCGAGGAUGAGGAGGACCGUAAAGGCAGGAAGAAGAAAAAGAAGAAGAAGAAGAAGCUGAAAAAGAAGAAGAGCAAGAGGUCCCGGUCAUCUUCGUCUUCCAGUAGCUCCUCAGACAGUGACUGGAGUGAGGUGAGUUUAACUAAAUUUAUACCGAUUAGCACUGAAAUAUACUGUAUGCUGCAUGUUGUAGC
Molecule: long non-coding RNA, 478 nt
Filed under: Astyanax mexicanus (Mexican tetra)
Lineage: Eukaryota; Metazoa; Chordata; Actinopteri; Characiformes; Acestrorhamphidae
Description: lncRNA (ENSAMXG00005017956.1)
Source: RNAcentral